Molecule: ribosomal RNA, 492 nt
Filed under: uncultured bacterium
Lineage: Bacteria
Description: partial 16S ribosomal RNA
Rfam family: Bacterial small subunit ribosomal RNA
Source: RNAcentral
GAUGAACGCUAGCUACAGGCUUAACACAUGCAAGUCGAGGGGAAACGACAUCGAAAGCUUGCUUUUGAUGGGCGUCGACCGGCGCACGGGUGAGUAACGCGUAUCCAACCUGCCCAUCACUUGGGAAUAACCUUGCGAAAGUAAGACUAAUACCCAAUGACAUCCCACGAAGACAUCUGAAUGGGAUUAAAGAUUUAUCGGUGAUGGAUGGGGAUGCGUCUGAUUAGCUUGUUGGCGGGGUAACGGCCCACCAAGGCAACGAUCAGUAGGGGUUCUGAGAGGAGGGGGCCCCACAGUGGAACUGAGACACGGGCCAAACUGCUACGGGAGGGAGCAGUGAGGAAGAUUGGUCAAUGGGCGAGAGCCUGAACCAGCCAAGUAGCGUGCAGGAUGACGGCCCUAUGGGUUGUAAACUGCUUUUAUAAGGGAAUAAAGUGGGUCUCGUGAGACUUUUUGCAUGUACCUUAUGAAUAAGGACCGGCUAAUUCCGUG